GCGCUCGUUGUGUAGCGGUUAUCAUCCAGGACUUCCAAUUCUGGGACCCGGGUUCAAUUCCCGGCGAGCGCA
Molecule: transfer RNA, 72 nt
Filed under: Promethearchaeota archaeon
Lineage: Archaea; Promethearchaeati; Promethearchaeota
Description: Candidatus Lokiarchaeota archaeon (permafrost metagenome) tRNA-Gly
Rfam family: tRNA
About the family: Transfer RNA (tRNA) molecules are approximately 80 nucleotides in length. Their secondary structure includes four short double-helical elements and three loops (D, anti-codon, and T loops). Further hydrogen bonds mediate the characteristic L-shaped molecular structure. tRNAs have two regions of fundamental functional importance: the anti-codon, which is responsible for specific mRNA codon recognition, and the 3' end, to which the tRNAs corresponding amino acid is attached (by aminoacyl-tRNA synthetases). tRNAs cope with the degeneracy of the genetic code in two manners: having more than one tRNA (with a specific anti-codon) for a particular amino acid; and 'wobble' base-pairing, i.e. permitting non-standard base-pairing at the 3rd anti-codon position.
Source: RNAcentral